RNAcentral lists this long non-coding RNA (342 nucleotides) under Androctonus crassicauda. Lineage: Eukaryota; Metazoa; Arthropoda; Arachnida; Scorpiones; Buthidae. The record is from RNAcentral.
AACAAGUCAAGUAUGGAUUGUUUUGGUGUAUUACAUUGGCUUCGAGACACAAAAUGGGAGAUCAGUGUUAAGAUCACACGACGAACAAAUGAUGGGGACCGGGGUUGGACUCAAGGCGGGUUCGCGGCCGAGGGCCCGAGCACGUCACAAUUGGUCCAGUUGAUGAAAUUUCUUCAAAGAAAAAUGAGGUUAAUGUUCAUAAUGAUCUUCACUCUUAAUGUUUAAAACAGUGAAUCUCAAUAUUUUUGAAGUCAUGGCACACUUUUGAUUAUAAAAAUGUUUUGCAGAAUACUUAAAGCAAAAAUGUAUAUAUAAGAUGAUUCAUCCUGAAUUUCAUGAACG